Long non-coding RNA from Girardinichthys multiradiatus, 1770 nucleotides. RefSeq lists it as uncharacterized. NCBI's taxonomy places the organism in Eukaryota, Metazoa, Chordata, Actinopteri, Cyprinodontiformes, Goodeidae. The transcript has 2 exons. The record is from RefSeq and is a predicted model, not a curated record.
CAAAUUCUCACGAGACGUGUAGUUUUCAACUGUCAGUCCUGACCGGAGUAGCAGUACUUUUUUAAAGGGAAAGCGGGAAGCUGCCUUUACUAAGAGAUUGGUCUUGAGAGAGAUGCUUCUCAGAAAGACUUCCCAGUUGCUCUCCCACUCAUGAACGAGGACCAGUUUGAGGAACUAGAAGCAGCACUGAAGGACACCUCAGUUCGCCAAAAAAUGGUAAAUUUUAAGUUAACCGUUUUUGGUUUGAGUACUACAUUAUUAUUUCAAAUUUGUUCUAUUUUAGUUACAUUUAGAUUUUGACAAGAUUAACCUUUUUUUUCCUCUUUAAAUUAAGGUUACUCGUUUGGCAUUGGUUGGAGGGACCAACGCUGACAGUAUGAUCCGAAGGAUGUUAACUGCAACCCUUGCAAACAGCCUGGCCAGCACUUGUAAUUGGAAGGGCAAAGGACAAAAGAGGGUCUUCAAAGACACUGUUGCAGGACUGCAUGUUUGGUGAGUUUGGAACCUAAAGACGGACAGCACAGAAAGAAAAUCUGUUAGUUUUACACUUAUUUUUUGGCACAAACAUUUACAAUCUGGUUUUGUAAUACAUAGUUUAGUUGUAUGUAUUGUUACUUGAUGUAAUUUACUUCUAUAGACUAUAUUAAAUUACGAAUUAAAUAAGUAUAGCCUAAUCAUUAUUUAAGAAAUUGUGUAUCUUGAAAUAAUCUCCAGACCCCCAACUUGGUGCCUCGCAAAUCCCCUGUAGGUCCCAACCUCCACUUUGGUAACCACUGGUCUAGUGCAUAGGUCUGGGCAAAAAAAUCAAAUAAAUAUUGAAAAACAAAUGCUCAACUUUUAAAGUUGAUGAAUUAACCUAACAGGUAUUUCUUUUGGAGGAAGCCGGAGUACCCGGUGAGAACCCACGCAUGCACGGGGAGAACAUGCAAACUCCAUGCAGAAAGACGCUCAGUAGGAAGAGUAGUCGUCUUGCAAUCAGAAGUUUGUGUAUAUAAUAAUAAUAAAAUACAAUAAAAAAGCAAAUGCUCAACUUUUAAAGUUGAUGAAUUAACCUAACAGGUAUUUCUUUUGGAGGAAGCCGGAGUACCCGGUGAGAACCUACGCAUGCACGGGGAAAACAUGCAAACUCCAUGCAGAAAGACGCUCAGUAGGAAGAGUAGUUGUCUUGCAAUCAGAAGGACUCAGAUGCAGAGGCUGGCUGUGGCAGAAGGUGAAGUUUUAAUAAUAAAGAACUUACGUGGUAGUCAUGAUAGUGGUGACUGUGGCUCAGUAGUCGUCUUGCAAUCAGAAGUUUGUGUAUAUAAUAAUAAUAAAAUACAAUAAAAAAACAAAUGUUAUAUUAUAAGCACAGUUACUGAUUUUCAUGUGUUUUUGGGGUACAAAAGCAAAACCAGUUUAUGUUGCUGAAAAAUUUCUGUAUUCUCUUCCAAUAUUUUUUUCGGGUUUUAACCUCAACAAGAUGUGAGGUAUUCUCAGAUCUUUUUUCGUUAUCUGGGACUGGGGCUUUCGUGUUUUCAGAUCCUUUUGUGAGUGGUUCUUUGGUUUUGUGUUGUUUGUUCACCUGAUCAGCUCCUUCUGGUGCUUUUGUGUUAAAAAUGGCUGGAAUACAACGUACAACUUUGCAAUUGUUUUUUGUUUUCACAUCAGUCACAGUGCUUGACUUUUUGGGUGAACUGGUCUGUAUUUUCUCUUGUUCACUUAUGUCAGCUGGGUGUAGAGACUGCUUGUCUAUAUAUGUAACAAUUGGAUUAAAUCUUACAUGUUUACAAA